This 544-nucleotide ribosomal RNA is filed under the name uncultured bacterium. Its description in RNAcentral is "partial 16S ribosomal RNA". It matches the Rfam family "Bacterial small subunit ribosomal RNA", at positions 355 to 887 of the family's 1533-position model. The record is from RNAcentral.
UGGGGAAUAUUGGACAAUGGGGCAACCCUGAUCCAGCCAUGCCGCGUGUGUGAAGAAGGCCUUUUGGUUGUAAAGCACUUUAAGCAGGGAGGAGAGGCUAAUGGUUAAUACCCAUUAGAUUAGACGUUACCUGCAGAAUAAGCACCGGCUAACUCUGUGCCAGCAGCCGCGGUAAUACAGAGGGUGCGAGCGUUAAUCGGAAUUACUGGGCGUAAAGCGAGUGUAGGUGGCUCAUUAAAGUCACAUGUGAAAUUCCCGGGCUUAACCUGGGAACUGCAUGUGAUACUGGUGGUGCUAGAAUAUGUGAGAGGGAAGUAGAAUUCCCAGGUGUAGCGGUGAAAUGCGUAGAGAUCUGGAGGAAUACCGAUGGCGAAGGCAGCUUCCUGGCAUAAUAUUGACACUGAGAUUCGAAAGCGUGGGUAGCAAAACAGGAUUAGAUACCCUGGUAGUCCACGCCGUAAAACGAUGUCUACUAGCCGUUGGGGUCCUUGAGACUUUAGUGGCGCAGUUAACGCGAUAGUNGACCGCCUGGGGGAGUACGGCC